Molecule: long non-coding RNA, 833 nt
Filed under: Phascolarctos cinereus (koala)
Lineage: Eukaryota; Metazoa; Chordata; Mammalia; Diprotodontia; Phascolarctidae
Description: lncRNA (ENSPCIG00000007161.2)
Source: RNAcentral
UCUCCCCUUCAGCAACAGAAUGGCUAUCCUUUGGUGAAUUAAUUGAUUGUUUGCAGACAUGUUUUCCGAAGCUCUAUGGGUUAGUGACCCGUCAGGAGACGGGGUGGGGUAUGGGUGGCAGUGGUUCUGUGGGGACUGCGUUCUCCCUGUCAACUAUGGGAACUCUGACAGUUUGGGUGCGAGGCAACCGCGUUUCCUCCCUGUGUACUGUAGCUCUUGGUGUUUGGAGUGGGAGUCGGGGUGAGGGAACGGCGUGUGCUGGUGUACAUGGCUUUCUUUAUGUACCUAUACUUACCCUUUCCUGUGUAUGAUUUCUUAAGGCUUUGAUGGCCUCUGGAGGGACAUCCUAGGUCACCUCGGGAAACUUAGCUAAACUAGAGGUGGGAAAGCAGAAGAGCUUUCUCUUCCUCGGGCCUUCACCCACCCCCUUACCCAGCGACUGGAAAGACUUUGAUUCUCCCCUCCCCCAUCUUUUCCUCCCCAGGCUCUUCUUUUGUUGUCAAGUUCCUUUGAUAAAUGGUUGUGCUGUAGAGCUGAGAGAGAAGAGGGAAGAAGGUCGGUGGAGAAAAGCCGAGGGGUUCCAGCACUUCCUUCAAGCACCGGCACAAACCCGACCUGCUCGUUUGUCAACUUUCUCAGCCCCUAAUCCAAACAUGCUUGAAAGCCCCUGGCCCCAAGACUUGGUACUCGUUCACUCUUCUUUCUCUCCAGACCCGGGUAGAGAGAGACCUAUUCCCAGCCGGCAGUCGAGCUCAGGACGCGGGGCUCGGAAUUUCUCAGUCGACAGAGCAGAGCAGAGGAAAGCUGAGCAGAGCGCACCCACUCAGCCUUAG